RNAcentral lists this ribosomal RNA (497 nucleotides) under uncultured bacterium. RNAcentral describes it as "partial 16S ribosomal RNA". It matches the Rfam family "Bacterial small subunit ribosomal RNA", at positions 28 to 507 of the family's 1533-position model. The record is from RNAcentral.
GAUGAACGCUGGCGGCGUGCCUAAUACAUGCAAGUCGAGCGAACAGACGAGGAGCUUGCUCCUCUGACGUUAGCGGCGGACGGGUGAGUAACACGUGGAUAACCUACCUAUAAGACUGGGAUAACUUCGGGAAACCGGAGCUAAUACCGGAUAAUAUAUUGAACCGCAUGGUUCAAUAGUGCAAGACGGCUUUGCUGUCACUUAUAGAUGGAUCCGCGCCGCAUUAGCUAGUUGGUAAGGUAACGGCUUACCAAGGCAACGAUGCGUAGCCGACCUGAGAGGGUGAUCGGCCACACUGGAACUGAGACACGGUCCAGACUCCUACGGGAGGCAGCAGUAGGGAAUCUUCCGCAAUGGGCGAAAGCUUGACGGAGCAACGCCGCGUGAGUGAUGAAGGUCUUCGGAUCGUAAAACUCUGUUAUUAGGGAAGAACAAAUGUGUAAGUAACUAUGCACGUCUUGACGGUACCUAAUCAGAAAGCCACGGCUAACUACGUG